Molecule: long non-coding RNA, 179 nt
Organism: Chelonia mydas (Green sea turtle)
Lineage: Eukaryota; Metazoa; Chordata; Testudines; Cheloniidae
Exons: 3
Source: RefSeq, a predicted model, not a curated record
GGUGUGGGUAACCCGUUGAACCCCAUUCGUGAUGUGGAUCGGGGAUUGCAAUUAUUCCCCAUGAACGAGGAAUUCCCAGUAAGUGCGGGUCAUAAGCUCGCGUUGAUUAAGUCCCUGCCCUUUGUACACUACCCCCCAGAUCUGAAGAGCGUGGAGGUAUUCGCUCAAGAGGUGUCAGA